This 497-nucleotide ribosomal RNA is filed under the name uncultured bacterium. RNAcentral's name for it is "partial 16S ribosomal RNA". It matches the Rfam family "Bacterial small subunit ribosomal RNA", at positions 28 to 507 of the family's 1533-position model. The record is from RNAcentral.
GAUGAACGCUGGCGGCGUGCCUAAUACAUGCAAGUCGAGCGAACAGACGAGGAGCUUGCUCCUUUGACGUUAGCGGCGGACGGGUGAGUAACACGUGGAUAACCUACCUAUAAGACUGGGAUAACUUCGGGAAACCGGAGCUAAUACCGGAUAACAUGUUGAACCGCAUGGUUCAACAGUGAAAGACGGUCUUGCUGUCACUUAUAGAUGGAUCCGCGCCGCAUUAGCUAGUUGGUAAGGUAACGGCUUACCAAGGCAACGAUGCGUAGCCGACCUGAGAGGGUGAUCGGCCACGCUGGAACUGAGACACGGUCCAGACUCCUACGGGAGGCAGCAGUAGGGAAUCUUCCGCAAUGGGCGAAAGCCUGACGGAGCAACGCCGCGUGAGUGAAGAAGGUCUUCGGAUCGUAAAACUCUGUUAUUAGGGAAGAACAAAUGUGUAAGUAACUAUGCACGUCUUGACGGUACCUAAUCAGAAAGCCACGGCUAACUACGUG